RNAcentral lists this ribosomal RNA (206 nucleotides) under uncultured bacterium. Its description in RNAcentral is "partial 16S ribosomal RNA". It matches the Rfam family "Bacterial small subunit ribosomal RNA", at positions 568 to 774 of the family's 1533-position model. The record is from RNAcentral.
CGCGUAGGCGGCCGAUCAAGUCAGGCGUGAAAUUCCCGGGCUCAACCUGGGGGCUGCGCUUGAUACUGAUUGGCUUGAAUGCGGGAGAGGAUAGUGGAAUUCCCAGUGUAGAGGUGAAAUUCGUAGAUAUUGGGAAGAACACCGGUGGCGAAGGCGGCUAUCUGGCCCGUAAUUGACGCUGAGGCGCGAAAGCGUGGGAGCAAACA